UGGAGUCUGAGCUGACAUGUAAGAAGUCCAACUACCCUGAAACUGCCCUACUGGAGAGACCAGAUAGAGAGACACAUGGAGAGAGAGGUUAGAGGAGCCCUCAGAUCUUGAAUCUUCCCAGCAUCGACAAGCAAGCCUGUGAGUGGGUGAGCUAUAUUAGAGGACGUUUAUACUUUGGGAAACGGAUCCAGGAGAAAGAAGACUGAUGUGUUGAAAGAAGGUACUUCUAUGUAUGUUCCAUGGAGUCAAGGACAUUGGUUACUGCUGGAUCCCCAACUCUUACAACAGUGUCUGGCACACAGAAGGAGGUCAGUAAAUAUUCUUUGAGU
Molecule: long non-coding RNA, 329 nt
Organism: Panthera uncia (snow leopard)
Lineage: Eukaryota; Metazoa; Chordata; Mammalia; Carnivora; Felidae
Exons: 3
Source: RefSeq, a predicted model, not a curated record